RNAcentral lists this transfer RNA (69 nucleotides) under Sceloporus jalapae. RNAcentral's name for it is "tRNA-Gln". It matches the Rfam family "tRNA". From Rfam's summary of the family: Transfer RNA (tRNA) molecules are approximately 80 nucleotides in length. Lineage: Eukaryota; Metazoa; Chordata; Lepidosauria; Squamata; Phrynosomatidae. The record is from RNAcentral.
UAGGAGAUAGAAUAAUGAAGUUCUAAAGAUUUUGAGUCUUUUUGUGCAGGUUCGAGUCCUGUUUUUCUA